AUCUGCCUGGACUAAUGAAGUAAUCACUGCUCUUUGUGAUGUUCAAUGCCGUUCUUCACUCAAAAACCUCAAAGCACAAAGAAUUUUUCAGAGGCAGAAAGCCAUGCACAGUGGAGCUGUUUGUGCAUUGAGGGCAAUCUCCUUUGGCUUUUUUGAGCUCAAGUUCUUCAAGCAAGUAUUAGUGUGAACAGCAGCAGCUUAAAGCACUCCCUAAUCUUGAAGAGACCAUAAGUAACACACUGCUUGAACAAGUCCCUGUAGAUGGAAGCAUCUUUGAGACUAAUUCCAUCAUAUCUUGGGGAUUAGAAGAAAUGGGGAAAAUCUGUGAGAAAUGAGGAGAGCAAAUUAUUGUCUUUCAAUGAAGUAAGCACCAACUCAGAUCUUGUCAUACAUUAUGAAUAAUCUCAUUUUUGCUGGAAUCCUGUACUAUAUUAAAGACAUUAUGGCAGGUAAAAUUACCUAGGGGAGUACUGCUUUCUUAGGUACCUUUGUACCAGAAGAUGGAGCCGGAGAGCCUGGAUUCAGCAUCUCUGCAGGGUCAACGUUCUUUCAGUAGAGCUGACCCGGCUUUUGUUAUCUCCAUGGAUGAGAUCAAAAAAGGAAAAUGGAGGUCACAGCUAUUUCACAGUUUAAUAGCCCUGUAACCAUUAAAACAUAGUAAACCCAAGAAUAAAAACAGAACCCAAGUGAAGUCAAUUUAAAUAGUUAAGGAACAAGGACGUGUUUCAGUGGGAAACAUCCAUAAGGUAAUGCAUAACUUUUUUUUUCCCUAUCACAUACUUAGAGAUGAAUUUUAAAUUCCAGUGUGACAGGUCUCAAAGGUAAAGCUGAACAUGAUAAUUAAUAUAAGAUCAUUCAUACCUGAUUCUCUGCAGGACUUUUAUUGAAUUGUGAAAAGUAAGAGAUAUGAUUC
Molecule: non-coding RNA, 913 nt
Organism: Cyanistes caeruleus (blue tit)
Lineage: Eukaryota; Metazoa; Chordata; Aves; Passeriformes; Paridae
Source: RefSeq, a predicted model, not a curated record